UUGUGGAGGAGGACGCCGAAGGUGGGGCUAAUGACUGGGGUGAAGUCGUAACAAGGUAGCCGUACCGGAAGGUGCGGCUGGAUCACCUCCUAACAGGGAGACAACAAAAUGUAAAUAUUAAUUUUGUCACCUUAGGUCGAUCGGUAUCUCAGAUUCUUAAUUUUUGAGAAUUUCAGUUUCUAAGUUUUUUCUAGGUCACACCCAUUACUUUUUCCUGGGCCAUUAGCUCAGGUGGUUAGAGCGCACCCCUGAUAAGGGUGAGGUCCCUGGUUCAAGUCCAGGAUGGCCCAUAUCUCUAUGUUGGGGGUAUAGCUCAGUUGGUAGAGCGCCUGCUUUGCAAGCAGGAUGUCAGCGGCUCGAGUCCGCUUACCUCCACUGAAUACCACCUCUCACAUAUUUUUAAGGGAAAUUGUUUUGAGUCCUGCCCAAACUUUCUGAACGAAUCUAGCUUCCUAUUUUAUUUAAUUAAUAAGAUGCUGGACUCAUUGAAUUUAUAUUCAUUGUUUUCAGAGAACCUUGACAACUGCAUAGAUUAUUUUAAAGACAAUAAGCAUCUUUAAUGAUGCAGAUUUAUUAUUUGUGCGAAUGCAUUAAAUAACAAUUCUAUUAAGCUGAUGCUUCAAUUAUUGAAGUUAUUGGUCAAGCUACAA
This 650-nucleotide unclassified non-coding RNA is filed under the name uncultured Prochlorococcus sp. RNAcentral's name for it is "partial 16S-23S ribosomal RNA intergenic spacer; may also contain 16S ribosomal RNA and 23S ribosomal RNA". The stretch from base 1 to 93 matches the Rfam family "Bacterial small subunit ribosomal RNA", at positions 1441 to 1533 of the family's 1533-position model. Lineage: Bacteria; Bacillati; Cyanobacteriota; Cyanophyceae; Synechococcales; Prochlorococcaceae. The record is from RNAcentral.